RNAcentral lists this ribosomal RNA (636 nucleotides) under uncultured fungus. Its description in RNAcentral is "eukaryotic LSU rRNA". The stretch from base 211 to 365 matches the Rfam family "5.8S ribosomal RNA". The record is from RNAcentral. Lineage: Eukaryota; Fungi.
GGAUCAUUACUGAGUCGUUGACAUGAGUUGUUGCUGGUCCUCACAUGGGGGCAUGUGCACGCUCUGUUCACACAUCCACUCACACCUGUGCACCCUCUGUAGUUCUAUGGUUGGGGGACACACCGUCUUCCUCCUGUGGUUCUACGUCUUUACACACACAACGUAGUGAAGUCUUAUGGAAUGUGCACCGCGUUUANCGCAAUACAAUACAACUUUCAGCAACGGAUCUCUUGGCUCUCGCAUCGAUGAAGAACGCAGCGAAAUGCGAUAAGUAAUGUGAAUUGCAGAAUUCAGUGAAUCAUCGAAUCUUUGAACGCACCUUGCGCCCCUUGGCCAUUCCGAGGGGCAUGCCUGUUUGAGUAUCAUGAACACCUCAACUCUCAUGGUUUUCCAUGAUGAGAUUGGACUUUGGGGGUUUUGCUGGCCAUGNGGUUGGCUCCUCUCAAAUGAAUUAGCUUGCCAGUGUUUGGUGGCGUCACAGGUGUGAUAACUGUCUGCGCUUGUGGCUGUCUGCCAGGUGACCUUCAGUGAUGAAGGCUUGCUGGAGCUUCCAAAUGUCUCUCCUGAGUGAAGACAGCUUUUUGAUCGUUCGAUCUCAAAUCAGGUAGGACUACCCGCUGAACUUAAGCAUAUCAA